RNAcentral lists this transfer RNA (72 nucleotides) under Ovis aries (sheep). It matches the Rfam family "tRNA". Rfam says of the family: Transfer RNA (tRNA) molecules are approximately 80 nucleotides in length. Their secondary structure includes four short double-helical elements and three loops (D, anti-codon, and T loops). Lineage: Eukaryota; Metazoa; Chordata; Mammalia; Artiodactyla; Bovidae. The record is from Rfam by way of RNAcentral.
UCCCUGGUGGCUCAGAUGGUAAAGCAUCUGUCUACAAUGCAGGAGACCUGGGUUUGAUCCCUGGGUUGGGAA